Molecule: ribosomal RNA, 555 nt
Filed under: uncultured bacterium
Lineage: Bacteria
Description: bacterial SSU rRNA
Rfam family: Bacterial small subunit ribosomal RNA
Source: RNAcentral
ACGCCGCGUGCGGGAUGACGGCCUUCGGGUUGUAAACCGCUUUUCGGGGGGACGACCCUGACGGUACCCCCGGAACAAGCCCCGGCUAACUCUGUGCCAGCAGCCGCGGUAAGACAGAGGGGGCGAGCGUUGUCCGGAGUCACUGGGCGUAAAGCGCGCGCAGGCGGCAACCUAAGUGUCGUGUGAAAGCCCCCGGCUCAACCGGGGGAGGCCAUGGCAAACUGGGUCGCUCGAGCUGCGGAGAGGCCCCUCGAAUUGCCGGUGUAGCGGUGAAAUGCGUAGAGAUCGGCAGGAAGACCAAGGGGGAAGCCAGGGGGCUGGCCGCAGGCUGACGCUGAGGCGCGACAGCGUGGGGAGCAAACCGGAUUAGAUACCCGGGUAGUCCACGCCGUAAACGAUGACCACUCGGCGUGUGGCGACUAUUGACGUCGCGGCGCGCCCUAGCUCACGCGAUAAGUGGUCCGCCUGGGAACUACGAGCGCAAGCUUAAAACUCAAAGGAAUUGACGGGGGCCCGCACAAGCAGCGGAGCGUGUGGUUUAAUUCGACGCAACCC